Molecule: ribosomal RNA, 433 nt
Filed under: uncultured bacterium
Lineage: Bacteria
Description: partial 16S ribosomal RNA
Rfam family: Bacterial small subunit ribosomal RNA
Source: RNAcentral
AACGAACGCUGGCGGCAUGCCUAAUACAUGCAAGUCGAACGAAACCUCCGGGACCGUUGGCGCCUGGGUGCGUAGCGCGUGGGAAGCGGCCCGUAGGGUAGGACUAACUCAACGAACGGGGUACCAAGGGCGGACAAUGUCUAACAACCGAUGAUAUAUCGGCUUUGUAUGGGCCCGAGUGGGAUUCGGUAGUGGGUAGGGUUACAGCCUACCAAGGUGACGAUCCGUAGCUGGUCGGAGAGGAUGGUCAGCCACACUGGGAAUGGGACACGGCCGAGACUCCUACGGAAGGAAGCAAUGGGGAAUGUUGGACGACGGGCGAAAGACUGAGGCAGCCAGGCCGCGUGAGUGAGGAAGGCCUGAGGGAUGUAAAGCUCUGUUAACCGGGAAGAUAAUGACGGUACCGGAAGAGAAAGCUCCGGCUAACUACGUG